GUGUCAGCAGCCGCGGUAAGACGAACCGUCCAAACGUUAUUCGGAAUCACUGGGCUUAAAGGGCGCGUAGGCGGCCGAGCGGGUCGUGGGUGAAAUCCCCCAGCUUAACUGGGGAACUGCUUACGAUACCACUGCGGCUCGAGGAAGGAAGGGGCAAUUGGAACUGUCGGUGGAGCGGUGAAAUGCGUUGAUAUCGACAGGAACGCCGGUGGCGAAAGCGAAUUGCUGGUCCUUUUCUGACGCUGAGGCGCGAAAGCCAGGGGAGCAAACGGGAUUAGAAACCCUGGUAGUCC
RNAcentral lists this ribosomal RNA (293 nucleotides) under uncultured bacterium. RNAcentral describes it as "partial 16S ribosomal RNA". It matches the Rfam family "Bacterial small subunit ribosomal RNA", at positions 505 to 796 of the family's 1533-position model. The record is from RNAcentral.